GGUUUACGGCUCAGUGGAAGAGUGCUCGCCUAGCACAUGCAAGGACCUGGGUUCAAUCCUCAGCACCA
RNAcentral lists this transfer RNA (68 nucleotides) under Marmota monax (woodchuck). RNAcentral describes it as "tRNA.Ala". Lineage: Eukaryota; Metazoa; Chordata; Mammalia; Rodentia; Sciuridae. The record is from RNAcentral.